CCGCGGUAAUACGUAGGGUGCGAGCGUUGUUCGGAAUUACUGGGCGUAAAGGGCGCGCAGGCGGAAUAGCAAGUCGGAGGUGAAAACCCGGGGCUCAACCCCGGAGGGUCUUUCGAAACUGCUAAUCUAGAGAGGGUCAGGGGCCAGCAGAAUUCUUGGUGUAGAGGUGAAAUUCGUAGAUAUCAAGAGGAAUACCGGUGGCGAAAGCGGCUGGCUGGGGCCACUCUGACGCUGAGGCGCGAAAGCGUGGGGAGCAAACAGG
This 262-nucleotide ribosomal RNA is filed under the name uncultured bacterium. RNAcentral's name for it is "partial 16S ribosomal RNA". It matches the Rfam family "Bacterial small subunit ribosomal RNA", at positions 515 to 776 of the family's 1533-position model. The record is from RNAcentral.